Molecule: RNA transcript, 2382 nt
Organism: Stomoxys calcitrans (stable fly)
Lineage: Eukaryota; Metazoa; Arthropoda; Insecta; Diptera; Muscidae
Gene name: zinc finger protein 492-like
Exons: 6
Source: RefSeq, a predicted model, not a curated record
UUUUAGCAUCACAUUUUCAAACAAAACAUUUUGGUUUGGUUGAAAACAAUUGGAGUCUAGCAUAGAAUGGAGUGUUUGCUGUGCUUGAAGACUUGCUCCGACUAUAUAGCAGAAUAUUCUAAGGAGUGGUCGGAAUUCAAAGUAAAAAACUUGGUAGACAAACAUCUAUGGGCCAUACAGGAGAGCACAUCACCGUUGUGUAUUUGUAUGAUUUGUUGGACUGAAUUGGACAGAUUUAAUAAAUUCUACGCAUGCAUCGAACAAGCACACAAUAUUUUAAAGCAGGCCGUAGCUAAACCACCAAGUGACCCUUUGGACCCUUUUCCACAGGAAGUUCUAUUGGAAAGCGAAAUUGACCAAGCAAUUUUAUUUACUGCUGAUAGCAACCAAGGUAACGAGCUUUAUUUAGUCCACGGUGAUAAUCAAGGCCUUUUCGAUGGUAAUUAUGACGAUGAAACUAAUGAAGAAAAUGCAAAAAAUGUAAGUUGUAACAAUGUACCAGCAAAUACUAAUAAUGAAUGUAUGGAUGAGUGCAUGAGUGAUACUUCUCCUGUGAACUUUAUCAUAGAUGCCGCAAAGAGGAAUAAAGCAGAUUAUGACGCCUUCCUUAAGGAACAUUUCAAAAUUACUUGCGAUAAGUGCUACCAGACUUUAGAAACAUUUGCAUUGCUUGCGCAGCAUUACAGCAAAAGCCACAAUGAACGUGGUUAUGUUGUUUGCUGUGAGACAAAAUUUUUCUAUCGUCAUUUUUUAGUAGAUCACAUCAAAUAUCAUUUGAACCCCGAUUACUUUAAGUGCACAUAUUGCGAUAAAUCAUUUUCCACAAGGCGAUGUUUGCAAAUACACAUCCAACUACACGAGGAUAGGAAGCAUGCCUGUGACAAGUGCGAUAAAAAGUACAUAAAAAGAUAUUUGCUCGAAAAACACAAAUUAACACACAUGCCUAAGCCGGAGAAGAAAUUUUCCUGCAACGAAUGUGGUAAACUGUACGUCAGUCAGCAUGCACUUAACUAUCACGAAAAAGCUGUUCACCAAAAUGUAUAUGUGCGAGUAUGUGAAGUUUGUGGCCAGACGUUACCAGAUGCCUUUUCGUACAAACAGCACAUGUUGAGACAUAAUCCCAAACCAGUCAAAUGUGAAGAUUGCGGCUUGUUAGUAACAAGUCAGAUAACUUUAAAGUACCAUAGGGAUUUGAAACAUCCGGUGGGAGGAAGUCGGGAGUACAGUUGCCCAAUUUGCCAAAGAAUAUCACCAAAUAUGAGAGCUCACAAAGCCCAUAUAAAAGAAACACACGAGGCAAAACAAAAAUUCGAAUGCACACUUUGCAAUAAAAAAUUUAAGAGAAGGGAUAAAUUGAAGUGUCAUAUGGCUGUUCACACUGGAAAUCUAUCGUAUAGCUGUUCCUGGUGCCCAAAACAGUUCAUUACAAGCAGCAAUAUGACCCAUCACCGUAAGAAAGUGCAUCCUACUGAAUGGGAGGAGGAACAACGUAAAAAAUAUUCUGGAAAUUUGCCUCCCAGAUUACAAAAAUGUAAUUCAAAUAAUUCUUCAUAGAGCAAUAAGACAUUGUAGCUAAAGGAUUUCUCAAGGUUUUGAAAAUAUAAAUGUUUUAAAGGUGGCUCUGUAGAGCGAGUGAAAAGGAAAUUUGUAUGGAGUGUAUUGUGUCGUGUUUUAAAAUGUUUUUAUUAUAACACAACAAAAAAAGUAAAUAAAAAUAUAAAAAGUGAUCAACAAAAAAAAUCAUUUGUGUGCUCUAUUGUUCUUCUGCCAAUAUCACGUUUGCUAUAUCUUUCUGGAAUCGUAUAAAAUUUCACAACCAUGAGCAAUUAUCAAAACCAAACACCACCAACGGUGUUGAGAAACCAUCAUCAACACCAUCAGCAACACCACAACAAUCAUCAUUUCUCAUCAUCGUCAACAACAAGCACUGCGGCGCAACAGCAUAAUUUUACCACACCUGCAAUACCACAUCACCAACAGCCGGUGCCACUACCGGCACCACCACAACCUUUAAUUAGUAACUCAUUGGCGAUACGUCAGGAGAUUCAGCGAUUUGAAAGUGUACAUCCAUCGAUCUAUGCCAUCUAUGACUUAAUCGAUUUACUACCCAUAACGGACGCCCAGAUAGCUCAACAGAUACGGGAUCAUGUUGUCUGUAUUGAAGGUAUGAACUUUAUUGUUAAACUUGUAAGGAGUAAUUUGAAAACAAAGCAAUGUUCAUCAUUGGAGGUAAUCAAAGUAAAUAAAAAUUAAUUUUUUGUGGAAAAGCAACUUAUUCUGAUGGAUAAUUGAAACUAUUUCAUAUAUUUGGUAAAUAGCUGAUUUAAAACAAUUCAAUAAAAACCAACUGUACAAGUGGCACAGCCUUUGUCGGUUUACUGU